GACGAAGGUGGCGAGCGUUGUUCGGAUUCACUGGGCGUAAAGGGUGCGUAGGCGGUCGGGUAAGUCUGAUGUGAAAUCUCACAGCUUAACUGUGAAACUGCAUUGGAUACUAUCCGGCUCGAGGAAUGGAGGGGAGACUGGAAUACUUGGUGUAGCAGUGAAAUGCGUAGAUAUCAAGUGGAACACCAGUGGCGAAGGCGAGUCUCUGGACAUUUCCUGACGCUGAGGCACGAAAGCCAGGGGAGCAAACGGG
This 253-nucleotide ribosomal RNA is filed under the name uncultured bacterium. RNAcentral's name for it is "partial 16S ribosomal RNA". It matches the Rfam family "Bacterial small subunit ribosomal RNA", at positions 524 to 776 of the family's 1533-position model. The record is from RNAcentral.